AUAAAAUUCAAAAAGAUGAAUAUGAAAAAAAUAACUAUAAUAUAAUAAAAAUAGGUCUAAAUAGUUAAAUAAUAUAAAAAGUUUGACCCAUAUUUUUUCAUAUAAAGUAAAGGGUAAAGUGGUAUUUGACAUAUUUUUUUGUCUUUUAGCUUAUUACACAUAAUCUCUAUUUCACAAAAAGUAAAAAAAGUGUCUAUUUCACAAAUUUCAAAAAAAACUACCUACUUCUCAAAUUACUUUUUAAAAAGUGUCUACUAUUCUAAUAAGCCCAAUCUUUUAUACCUAAAAUGUUUUCUU
This 297-nucleotide small RNA is filed under the name Arabidopsis thaliana (thale cress). RNAcentral describes it as "ATSL122920". Lineage: Eukaryota; Viridiplantae; Streptophyta; Magnoliopsida; Brassicales; Brassicaceae. The record is from RNAcentral.